Molecule: long non-coding RNA, 510 nt
Organism: Podarcis raffonei (Aeolian wall lizard)
Lineage: Eukaryota; Metazoa; Chordata; Lepidosauria; Squamata; Lacertidae
Exons: 4
Source: RefSeq, a predicted model, not a curated record
GAUGCAAGUUGAUUAUUGAAACUGAGUCUAUAGGCAUCCAAAAGGAACCAGGGAUUGCGUGGUCAUAAGAACAGUGGAGUCAUGAGCAGGGAUGGGGAAAGAGAGACAUUGGGUGACAGCUGGAGCCUGGAAAAACAAGCAGAUAUGUGUCUGCUCAGAAGUAAGUCCAGGUGAGAUCAACAGGACUUCCUUUCAGAGAGGAACCAUCCAUGCCUCGUGGCAGAUCACGGGGGAACUGAUGGGAAUUUCAAAAGCAGCUUGCUAAGCAUUUCACAGAAUCUUCUGUUGACCUCUCGGUUCAGAAUCGUUCUUAACACAGUAGCAGCUGUCCCUGCCGAAGAAAUCAUGGAUUCAGUUAAAUUCCCCCCAAGCAUCUCGCGGCCUUUAGGCAUGUGCUAUAAAUUUAAAAGUUCUAAUUAUAGCCGUGAGCAGCAGGAAUUACAGUCAUGAAAAGCGGCAACAAAUGGAAGAAUAGCUCAGCAACUGAAAGAGAUCGAUUUUGCCUUCCCC